GUCCGGGUGGCUCAAUGGUCAGAGCACCUGCCUCGUAAGCAGGAGAUCCGGGCUCGAAUCCCGGUCUGGCGCACU
This is a non-coding RNA of Schistocerca americana (American grasshopper), 75 nucleotides long. Lineage: Eukaryota; Metazoa; Arthropoda; Insecta; Orthoptera; Acrididae. The record is from the annotation of a RefSeq genome assembly.